This 57-nucleotide transfer RNA is filed under the name Dipodomys ordii (Ord's kangaroo rat). It matches the Rfam family "tRNA", at positions 8 to 63 of the family's 71-position model. From Rfam's summary of the family: Transfer RNA (tRNA) molecules are approximately 80 nucleotides in length. Their secondary structure includes four short double-helical elements and three loops (D, anti-codon, and T loops). The record is from Rfam by way of RNAcentral. Lineage: Eukaryota; Metazoa; Chordata; Mammalia; Rodentia; Heteromyidae.
UGGCUCAAUGGUAGAGUGCUUGCCUGGCAUGCAUGAGGCCCUAGGUUCAAUUCCUUA